UACGGAGGGGGCUAGCGUUGUUCGGAAUUACUGGGCGUAAAGCGCACGUAGGCGGCUUUGUAAGUUAGAGGUGAAAGCCCGGAGCUCAACUCCGGAAUUGCCUUUAAGACUGCAUCGCUAGAAUUGUGGAGAGGUAAGUGGAAUUCCGAGUGUAGAGGUGAAAUUCGUAGAUAUUCGGAAGAACACCAGUGGCGAAGGCGACUUACUGGACAGAUAUUGACGCUGAGGUGCGAAAGCGUGGGGAGCAAACAGG
This 253-nucleotide ribosomal RNA is filed under the name uncultured bacterium. Its description in RNAcentral is "partial 16S ribosomal RNA". It matches the Rfam family "Bacterial small subunit ribosomal RNA", at positions 524 to 776 of the family's 1533-position model. The record is from RNAcentral.